Molecule: long non-coding RNA, 488 nt
Organism: Folsomia candida
Lineage: Eukaryota; Metazoa; Arthropoda; Collembola; Entomobryomorpha; Isotomidae
Exons: 5
Source: RefSeq, a predicted model, not a curated record
GCAAAACCUCGCAGUAAAUCCAAUUCCAUAUUUGACAUGGAUUUUGGCAUCACCUUUUCAUCUUUUUUUCAGAAAGUUCGACUUUGGUCCAUCUUGGCCAUAAUUUUGAAAUACGAAAGGAGUCUGAAUUCCAUGAAAAAUUUAAACUCUUGGAUCAUUGCUAUUAUUCGAACGUGGAAAAGAAAUGUGGAUCAGCAAAAUUUGUCAGUGAUAAUUUGGAGAGGUUCCAAAACGUAAAGAAGGAGUUGCCAACUUCGAGAAGGAGUACAAAUCUGCGGAUACCCCUUUCAACAAAAGUGUGCAGAUAUAUUGCCGCUAUUAUUACGCACUUCGUGGAAUCGUAGGGGCAAGCUUGGUCAAGCAUUGCCAUAACUCUCUGUGGGAGGCGAACUUAUACAAUAUAUAUUUCACGUAAACAUAUAUACAUAUUUGUAAAUGGUCCAGAAACAGGAAAUGAUUGCGGAACAAUAAACUCUUUCGGUUUUAGA